RNAcentral lists this unclassified non-coding RNA (268 nucleotides) under Chytridiomycota sp. RNAcentral's name for it is "partial contains small subunit ribosomal RNA, internal transcribed spacer 1, and 5.8S ribosomal RNA". The stretch from base 1 to 47 matches the Rfam family "Eukaryotic small subunit ribosomal RNA", at positions 1785 to 1831 of the family's 1831-position model. The record is from RNAcentral. Lineage: Eukaryota; Fungi; Chytridiomycota.
AAAGUCGUAACAAGGUAACCGUAGGUGAACCUGCGGUUGGAUCAUUAAUAAUAUGUUGCCCAAAGUAGUGAGAGGUUCUCGUAAUCAUAUCCUACUGCGGGUUAAUAACACCUGUGCACCGUUGGGAAGGUUGCUUUUCAAGUACGAGACUGACUUUGGUUAGUAUCGGAACAAUUGGUAGCUGACCUUACAAACUUCUAUAAUUUGACUGAGUUUAUUUAUUAAUUUAAAUCAUAAACAACUUUAGACAACGGAUCUCUUGGCUCUC